CUAUCUGAAGAUGGUCUCAAGCCCUUCAGCUACAAGAAGAUGAUCGUCCUGUGAGACCAAAGCUGGAAGAAUCCCAACAUGUGGAUCAUGUGGAUGUGAAGGGAUCAAACUGAAGGGUGGAGCUGCUGGAGGGACUGAGUGAUGGAGCUGAGGCUGAUGUUGAUCUUUGGGUCUUAAAUCUGGUCUUUGGGAGUCGAACUCUUCAGACUGUGCUUGAAAAUUUGAUGCAUUUUUUUCCAUUCCUGUUGUCUUCACUGCAGCAGCUGCCUGCAUCAAUCCAACAACAAAUUGGAAACUUUCUGGAAUCUCAUCUUUAUUGUUAUCAAUGUUUUAUUAAUAUAAAUGAAACUUUGACCUCUUGUGUGUCUCUCUCUUGAGUGGUCUGUCAUCCGACAGGUCCGGCAUCAGUCAGUACUCUCCAGUCAUACCUCCUCUGUGCCAUGCUCUUCAUUUGUUGGUAGCUCCUUCCUUGUUGUAUGUUGUCCAGCACCAUGGCUCUCUUCCUGCCCCUCCGUCUUCUCCCUUCAAAUUUUCCUUCGAUGGUAUCAUGCAGUAGCCCUUCACUUCUCAGGAUAUGCCCAAUCCAUCUCGCCUUCCUCCUCCAGAUGGACUGAAUUAGCUUUCGUUGUUCAUUAACUCUGCUCCACACUUCUUCAUUCGUUACUCUUUCCGUCCAGCUGAUCCUCUCCAUCCUUCUCCACAUCCACAUCUCGCAACCUUCCAGCCUCUUAAUUUCCACCCUCCUCAGUGUCCACGUUUCGGAUCCGUACGUCAACACACUCCAAACUAAGGUCUUGACUGUCCUUUUCUUUAGGCUCUUGUCAAAGUUUUUGAUAAGCAGGAUCUUGUGUCUGUUGAAUGCCUCUUUCACCAUCGCUAUUCCAGCCUUAACCUCUCUCGCGCUCCGUCCAUCUUCUGUUAUAAGACUUCCUAGAUACUUGAACUGCUUGACUUGUUCGAGUGCGCUUCCGUUGAUGGUAAUUCUCAUUUCCCCUCCCUCUCUUCCACUGACCUUCAUUAGUUUGCUCUUGUUUUGAUUGAUUCUCUUGUGUGUCAACAACUCUGAAAUUCUUCAGGCUUUAACGUUGACUUUAGUAACUGUUUAUCAUUUAUUAAUCUAAAGUCCAGAUCAUGUGUGUCUUUUACCUUGUUCUUUAUGGCACUUUGUGAUUUUUGUCUGUCAAAAGGGCUUCAUGAAUAAACUUUACUCACCAACUUG
This is a long non-coding RNA of Salarias fasciatus (jewelled blenny), 1219 nucleotides long. RefSeq lists it as uncharacterized. Lineage: Eukaryota; Metazoa; Chordata; Actinopteri; Blenniiformes; Blenniidae. The record is from RefSeq and is a predicted model, not a curated record. The transcript has 2 exons.